This 443-nucleotide ribosomal RNA is filed under the name uncultured bacterium. RNAcentral's name for it is "partial 16S ribosomal RNA". It matches the Rfam family "Bacterial small subunit ribosomal RNA", at positions 338 to 795 of the family's 1533-position model. The record is from RNAcentral.
CCUACGGGUGGCUGCAGUGGGGAAUAUUGGGCAAUGGGCGCGAGCCUGACCCAGCAACGCCGCGUGAAGGAAGAAGGCUCUCGGGUUGUAAACUUCUUUUGUCAGGGACGAAGCAAGUGACGGUACCUGACUAAUGAGCCACGGCUAACUACGUGCCAGCAGCCGCGGUAAUACGUAGGUGGCAAGCGUUAUGCGGAUUUACUGGGUGUAAAGGUCGUGUAGGCGGGACGGCAAGUCAGAUGUGAAAACCACGGGCUGAAGCUGUGGACUGCAUGUGAAACUGUAGUUCUUGAGUACUGGAGAGGCAGACGGAAUUCGUAGUGUAGCGGUGAAAUGCGUAGAUAUUAGGAGGAACACCAGUGGCGAAGGCAGUCUGCUAGACAGCAACUGACGCUGAGGCGCGAAAGCGUGGGGAGCAAACAGGAUUAGAUACCCGUGUAGUC